UGGGGAAUAUUGCACAAUGGGCGCAAGCCUGAUGCAGCCAUGCCGCGUGUGUGAAGAAGGCCUUCGGGUUGUAAAGCACUUUCAGCGGGGAGGAAGGCGUUAAGGUUAAUAACCUUGGCGAUUGACGUUACCCGCAGAAGAAGCACCGGCUAACUCCGUGCCAGCAGCCGCGGUAAUACGGAGGGUGCAAGCGUUAAUCGGAAUUACUGGGCGUAAAGCGCACGCAGGCGGUUUGUUAAGUCAGAUGUGAAAUCCCCGGGCUCAACCUGGGAACUGCAGCUGAUACUGGCAAGCUUGAGUCUCGUAGAGGGGGGUAGAAUUCCAGGUGUAGCGGUGAAAUGCGUAGAGAUCUGGAGGAAUACCGGUGGCGAAGGCGGCCCCCUGGACGAAGACUGACGCUCAGGUGCGAAAGCGUGGGGAGCAAACAGG
Molecule: ribosomal RNA, 429 nt
Filed under: Chloroflexota bacterium
Lineage: Bacteria; Bacillati; Chloroflexota
Description: Chloroflexi bacterium partial 16S ribosomal RNA
Rfam family: Bacterial small subunit ribosomal RNA
Source: RNAcentral